This 63-nucleotide transfer RNA is filed under the name Rattus norvegicus (Norway rat). It matches the Rfam family "tRNA". From Rfam's summary of the family: Transfer RNA (tRNA) molecules are approximately 80 nucleotides in length. Their secondary structure includes four short double-helical elements and three loops (D, anti-codon, and T loops). The record is from Rfam by way of RNAcentral. Lineage: Eukaryota; Metazoa; Chordata; Mammalia; Rodentia; Muridae.
GGUGAUUUAGCUCAGCGGUAGAGCGCUUGCCUAUGAAGCGCAAGGCCCUGGGUUCAGUUACCA